Eucalyptus grandis is the source of this 567-nucleotide long non-coding RNA. RefSeq lists it as uncharacterized. The record is from RefSeq and is a predicted model, not a curated record. Lineage: Eukaryota; Viridiplantae; Streptophyta; Magnoliopsida; Myrtales; Myrtaceae. The transcript is spliced from 3 exons.
CCCGUUUUGUGGCGGUUCUCUGUGUCGUCUCUUCCGGCUGCAAAGUCCGAGGUAUUCGAACGCCGGUUGAACGAACUAGGGUUUUACAGGGCGGGAAGGGAGAAAGGAAUGGGGGCACUCGAACGUGUCGAACUCGCAUCCGAAGAACUACGGUCCCGGUUCUCGCGCUUGUCGAGUGUGUGGGAACCCUCAUGGUUUGAUCAGGAAGUACGGGCUGAUGUGCUGCCGGCAGUGCUUCCGCAGCAACGCUAAGGAAAUCGGUUUCAUCAAGUGCCGGUGAUGGCUCGGUGGAGAUGAAUAAAAAUCUUCUGAUGUCUUGCUUGAGGAGUAGCCCUUGCAGCAGCCAGCUGGUUUCCUCAUGUGUGGAAGGGCUCUGAACUAAGAGUUACCUGUCUUAUAGUCGGGUAGUCGGGGAUAGUAAUCAUCUGACAUUUGAGCUAAUUAUAGAACGUUAACUACAUUCUUUUGUUUCUUGCAUCGGUACUUACCUUUUGGUCUAUUUAAGGUCAUGUUUGUGGUCAUGAUUUUGGCUGCGGUCUGGCUUAAUGAAUGCCUUCUGUGAGAAAG